AUUGAACGCUAGCGGGAUGCUUUACACAUGCAAGUCGAACGGCAGCGCGGACUUCGGUCUGGCGGCGAGUGGCGAACGGGUGAGUAAUGUAUCGGAACGUGCCCAGUAGCGGGGGAUAACUACGCGAAGGCGUAGCUAAUACCGCAUACGCCCUACGGGGGAAAGCAGGGGAUCGUAGGACCUUGCACUAUUGGAGCGGCCGAUAUCGGAUUAGCUAGUUGGUGAGGUAACGGCUCACCAAGGCGACGAUCCGUAGCUGGUUUGAGAGGACGACCAGCCACACUGGGACUGAGACACGGCCCAGACUCCUACGGGAGGCAGCAGUGGGGAAUUUUGGACAAUGGGGGCAACCCUGAUCCAGCCAUCCCGCGUGUGCGAUGAAGGCCUUCGGGUUGUAAAGCACUUUUGGCAGGAAAGAAACGUCGCGGGCUAAUACCCCGUGGAACUGACGGUACCUGCAGAAUAAGCACCGGCUAACUACGUG
This 484-nucleotide ribosomal RNA is filed under the name uncultured bacterium. RNAcentral's name for it is "partial 16S ribosomal RNA". It matches the Rfam family "Bacterial small subunit ribosomal RNA", at positions 30 to 507 of the family's 1533-position model. The record is from RNAcentral.